RNAcentral lists this long non-coding RNA (2032 nucleotides) under Homo sapiens (human). Its description in RNAcentral is "HSALNT0255298". Lineage: Eukaryota; Metazoa; Chordata; Mammalia; Primates; Hominidae. The record is from RNAcentral.
CUCAGCCUCCCAAAGUGCUGGGAUUACAGGUGUGAACCAUUGUGCCCGGCCUCAUUUUUACAUUUUUUAUAGAGAUAGGCUCUCAUGAUGUUGCCCAGGCUGGUUUUGAACUCCUGAGCUCAGGCGAUCCUCCCUCCUCAUACCAGUUCUCAGGACAGGUUGCUGAGAACUCCUCAGGCUCUGAGGACACUGAGGUGGGAGGGAAACCGCGCUCUCCCUGCCCCUUGCCCCCCAGCGAAAACACUCUCAUGUCAGAACUCGGCUAUUACUAAACACAAACAGUGGUUCUCCGGACAACGCAGGUGUCUAGGUUUCUCCUUCUCUUCCAGAAAUCCUUUUAAAUUGUGCUAAGAAAUUACUGAGGUUGAAAGACACACACAAAGCCCAGGGAAAAAAGGAUGCAGGCCUCAGACCCUUGACCUUGAAGGGAGCAAUGGAAAUAGCCCCCCCCCAGAGGCGGGGGUCCAGAGGGGACUGGUGGAACUCGAACGUCCCCCACAACACACAGGGCCCUGGCUUGGGGCUGGGCCUCUCGGGCUCUGAAUUCUGGGGUGAGGCGGGGAUCGGGAGCCGUCUCUUCUCCUUGGAGGAGCUCGGGGGGUGGAUUUCCUUGCUUGGUUGGGGGUGGCCGCAAGGCCUGUGGUGAGAGCAUGGGGGGUGUCCAGGCCCCCUGGUGUCUGAUCCUGAGCCCCUGAGCCCUGUCUACCCCUGCAGGUCAUGCAGGCAGUACUCAGCCUCCUACCCACCCUCAACUUUCCAUCCAUGUCUAAACCCUGAAACAGAUAGUUCAGAGGCACAAAACUAAGGGGGCGGCCGAAAGCCAGGAUGCUCUACGCCAAACUAAGAAAAUAAUCACCAGCACAGCGUGUUUUCCAAUCCGCCAAGUUCUGCUGUGUCAUCUGUGAAAUAGGGCUGCUGUGGGACGUCAAGAUGGUUUCCUGGCCAGGUGAGGUGGGUGGCUCACACCUGUGAUCCCAGCACUUUGGGAGGCCGAGGUGGGACAAUCACCUGAGAUCAGGAGUUCGGGACCAGCCUGGCCAAUAUGGUGAACCCCAUCUCUACUAAAAAGACAAACAAUUAGCCGGGCGUGGUGGUGUGCGCUUGUAAUCCCAGCUACUCGGGAGGCUGAGGCAGGAGAAUUGCUUGAACUGGGGAGGUGGAGGUUGCAGUGAGUUGAGAUCGCGCCACUGAAGUCCAGCCUGGGCGACAGGGCAAGACUCCAUCUCAAAAAAAAAAAAAAAAAAAAAAAAAGGCUUCCUGAAGUUGUUGUGGCAGAGGAUCAGGGACAGCAGAGGGUGAGAUUCGCUGCGCUCCCCCCCACCCCAAUAAAAACACUCUCAUGUCACAGCUUGGCUCUCGUAUGACUAAACACAAACCGUGGUUCUCCAGACAACGCAGGCAUCUGUUUCUCCUUCUCUUCCAGAAAUCCUUUUAAAUUGUGCUAAGAAAUUACUGAGGUUGAAACACACACACGCAAAACCCAAGGACAAAAGGAUGCAUGCCUCAGACCCUUGACCUUGAAGGGAGCAAUGAAACUAGUCCCCAUAGAGGCAGGGGUCUGGAGAGGUCUGGUGGAACGCAAGUGUUGCCUGCCAUGCACAGGCGCCUCACUGGGCCUCUUGGGCUCUGAAUUCUGGGGUGAGGCAGGGAUGGAAGCCAUCCCUGGAGCAGAGGUGGAGAUGGGGGCUGUCAGGUUUCAUUAAGGUUCGUCCCACACAGGGGACUCUUCUAAACUUCUUGCUUCUCACGGUGAGUCUGACACUGGCGUCACCAGGGAGAAAUACAGGUUCUCAGGCCAGGCGCCGUGGCUCACGCCUGUACUCCCAGCACUUUGGGAGGCUGAGGAGGGCAGAUCACCUGAGGUCAGGAGUUUGAGGCCAGCCUGGCCAACAUGGUGAAACCCCGUCUCUACUAAAAAUACAAAAAUUAGCCAGGUGGCGUGGGCCUGUAAUCCCAGUUGCUCGGGUGGCUGAAGCAGAAUUGCUUGAGCCCAGAAGGUGGAGGUUGUAGUGAGCCGAGAUCGCGGCAGUGC